Molecule: long non-coding RNA, 1137 nt
Organism: Lytechinus variegatus (green sea urchin)
Lineage: Eukaryota; Metazoa; Echinodermata; Echinoidea; Temnopleuroida; Toxopneustidae
Exons: 2
Source: RefSeq, a predicted model, not a curated record
AAGGGAGUUUACAGAUACAGUCUGCGCAUGCGCGAGUCUCCGGUAUCCACUUCCGGGGUCAGGUCAACUGUACAUAAAUGCGGCGUCCGUACAGUCAACCCGUGAGUCAACCAACGAACGGCAUAAAUACCAUUUUUUAGCAGUCAAAAAUCUAGCAGUAUAUUUCUUUUUAUCGGUCUGUUCCUUGUCAUUUGCCAUGUUGAAUAAUGUGACGAGAUGUUUUCAGGACAUUGAUUGACGUUUUCCUACCAGAAAGUUGCAAAAACGGACUGUGUACUUGUGUUGUAAAACGCAGUUGAUCAGCUCUGCCUACAUGAUAUUACACGUAUGGGACAGUAGGUCUACGACCAACCGGUACACGGCAAACGAACUUGCCCCAACUGGCCCUACAAAUGGGUUCCGAUUAGACCGUCUAAAUCAUAUCGCGAACUCUAGAUCUACAGACUACACCAUGGGAAGAAUCUGUGCCUUCAUCGGCUGCUCGAACAGCGAAAAACUCUCGCGUUGGUAUGAUCAAACAUGUCAGUGUCAUGGGAAGAAGAAUGGGAGUUGCAUUUGCCUACCACCAUUUCAACUUUUUCCUUUCCCUUUUCAGCUAAAAAAUCCAUGUGUUGUUGCAUUACAAGUAACAAACACUCUUGUUCAAUAUUCACCUUUGUUUUUCUUAUAAAGGGAGUAUAUCGUCCCUUUAUUCAUGACUUGUAUUUUAUGAGAACCAUUAUUACAUAUCGCAAUCAGUUCUAUUUAUUAGACAGAAUGUUUUGCAUUUUCAAGCAUUAAAUCUAUUUCCAUGCAUGCAUAAAUCACAGUCAAUUAUUUCUUAAGGGAUGUCUUAAAAUUUCAGUUUUAUUAGCCCAUGUUUAUAUAACAAUUUCUUAAAAAGGAAAAUUCCAUAUUUUUGAGUGCUAAAUUCAUCUUAACAGAUUUAGCAUGUAUCCAAAGCUCGAUAUUCCCUCUUUACAUCAUCAUUUUUUUUUCUAAAUUGUAUCUUACCCACAUUUUUCCCCAAGUGUUGAUUUUAUCAUUAUUUUUUUCAUGUAUGCCUGAGUCCUCAGUUAUACUUGAAAUUUGUUUUUUGUGGAUCAGAAAGCUGGUAUGAUAUGGCAGAUUGGCAAUAAAAUGUUACAUGAAAUGCAA